ACCUAAUUCCCGCGAUAAGUGAGGGAACAGUGUAUACAUUUAUUUAUAUGCCACUCUUUUCUGUUAAAGAGUCUCAAAACAGUGAAUUACAAUAGAGUCUCACUUAUCCAACAUAAACGGGCCGGCAGAAUGUUGGAUAAGCGAAUAUGUUAGAUAAUAAGGAGGCAUUAAGGAAAAGCCUAUUAAACAUCAAAUUGUAUGAUUUUACAAAUUAAGCACCAAAACAUCAUGUUAUAUAACAAAUUUGACAGAAGAAGUACUUCAAUACGCAGUAAUGCUAUGUAGUAAUUACUGUAUUUACGAAUUUAGCACCAAAAUAUCACGACGUAUUGAAAACACUGACUACAAAAAUGCGUUGGAUAAUCCAGAAUGUUGGAUAAGCGAGUGUUGGAUAAGUGAGACUCUACUGUAUAUAUACCAGCAGACACAUCAAAAAUACAUAGAAAGAAGCAGGUUUUAGCAAAAGAAAGUUUUAAAUUGAUCCCACCUAGACAAUAUUACGCCACUCAUAGAUUCCAAUUACAUUUUUAUUAGUUUGAGAUGAAAAAUAAUUGCAGAUUUUCUUCUAUGCCCUCCUCAUCAAUUUGUUGUCAUCCAGAAAAUGUAAUAGAAAAGUUUCUAAAAAGUUUUAAAACAGAAGUAAAGCUUAAGUAUCGGACAUCCGAAAUGCUUGGGGUAGAAGAGCUUUGAAUUUUAUUUUAUUUUAAUUUAUAAUACCUGUAUUUGCAUAUACAUCCAUAAUGAGAUGCUCCACAUAUAUUUUAUGCACAUAACCUGAAGGUAAUUUUAUACAAUAUUUAAAAAAAUAAUUUUGUACAUGAAACUUUGUCAGUAAAGAUUAAAAUUUCAAUAAAACCUGAACUUUAUUUGUUGGGGAUUCUGAAUGAUAAAUUAGAAAACAAACAUGAAAGAUUACUAUAAUAUAUGAUUACAGCAGCAAGAAUAAUCUAUGCCAGAGAUGGAAAGAACCAGAUAUUCUGACACAAGAAGAAUGACUGGUGUAGAUAUGAGAAUUAGUCAAAAUGGGCAAAUUAACAAUGUUGAUUAAGGAGAAAUCAUUGAUUAAAUUCAAGAAAGUAUGGGACACAUUUCUUACUUUUAUAGAGCAAAGAUGGGGCAAUCUUUAAUUGUUGGUUUUCUGAUACAGAUGAGUGUUAUUAAAAGUAAAAGGGUAGAAAUAAAGUAAUACUUUAUUAAAGUAACAAAUACAGUAGAGUCUCACUUACCCAACACUCACUUAUCCAACGUUCUGGAUUAUCCAACACAUUUUUGUAGUCAGUGUUUUCAAUAUAUCAUGAUAUUUUGGUGCUAAAUUUGUAAAUACAGUAAUUACUACAUAGCAUUAAUGUGUAAUGAACUACUUUUUCUGUCAAAUUUGUUGUAUAACAUGAUGUUUUGGUGCUUAAUUUGUAAAAUCAUAACCUAUUUUGAUGUUUAAUAGGCUUUUUCUUAAUCUCUACUU
This 1462-nucleotide long non-coding RNA is filed under the name Anolis carolinensis (green anole). RNAcentral describes it as "lncRNA (ENSACAG00000037794.1)". The record is from RNAcentral. Lineage: Eukaryota; Metazoa; Chordata; Lepidosauria; Squamata; Anolidae.